Limanda limanda (common dab) is the source of this 1161-nucleotide long non-coding RNA. RefSeq lists it as uncharacterized. Lineage: Eukaryota; Metazoa; Chordata; Actinopteri; Pleuronectiformes; Pleuronectidae. The transcript is spliced from 2 exons. The record is from RefSeq and is a predicted model, not a curated record.
GGAUUCAGGAGUGAAGCUGCUGUGUUCUGGACUGGAGAGUCCAAACUGUCGACUGGAGACUCUGAGGUGGGAGGGGUAUUUGUAUAUCUGAGUGUGAAGAGGACAGUGUGUGUGGACGGAGGCUGAGCUGUGUCCUGAGGAUCCAGAGGCUGAAGCAGCAGCAGCUUGUGUGUAGUCUCCAAUCUACACAACCCCUAAUCUGCAUGUGUUUGUGAGAUGAAGGCGGAGCACCUGGAGAAAACACGUGGAGAACAUGCAGACUCCACACAGGAAGACCCAUCUGAACCAGAUUCAAACCAGCAACCUUCCUGCCCCGAUUGUGUUUAUUCACAUGAAGAAUGUGUUUAUUGAAAUGACACAACACAAGCAGAAUAUAUAAUCCCUCUAUAAAGAGUCACAUACAGUGUGUUUAAGUUUGUCUUUAUUAUUUUCCACCUUUGUCCCUCAGUCUGUCUCCAUGUGUGUAGAACCACAUUCUGUGUAGAUGUUUGUUUAUGAUCUUAAAGUUCCAAAGAAGGAAGGCUGCCGUGUCUCCAGCUCUCCCACAGCUCUGCUCUUUUUUCUAUCUUGUUGUUAUUGAUUCUUCUUUAUGUUGCAUUGUGCACUCUGACAAAGCGAGCCCUAUCAUCAUAUGUGAUGGAGAACAACUUCUGCUCAUCGGGUUGACGGUGAGAAACACUUAGUCACCAGUGAAGACCUGGACCCAUCACACAGACUCCAUCAGGGAGACGGCCAGGCAGCGGCUCUUCUCCACAUGGACUCCAGGAUCCAGGUGCAGCACAGAGAGCAUCCUGACAGAAACAUCUUUGACAAACAUAUUUAACGUCUUCUUUGAUUAUUUGUUUAUGUCCAUGUCCCAUCUGCUCACAUGGAGGAGGAGGUUUAUGACCUAUACUGCAGCCACACACCAGGGGGCAGUGUCAGUCUGGUUCAGCUCAUUUGUUCAUGGUGUGUUGAUGGACUGAUCUGAUUGGAUGUUCCUUAGUGUUUUUUUUUUUUAUGAAUCUAGUUCCUGUGUUGAGCGCGAGCUGCUGUUUAAAGACGUGUUUGACCUUUGACCUGAGCUGACCCGACAGUUCACUGUGACGAAGAGGAUGAAGAUGUGUAGUAUGGGUUGAACGUUGUCGUCCACUCAGAGGAUCAAUAAAGAUUAUAACUGAC